AGAGUUUGAUCCUGGCUCAGAUUGAACGCUGGCGGUAUGCUUAACACAUGCAAGUCGCACGGUAACAGGCCGCUGGGAUCCCUUCGGGGUGGCCUUGGCGCUGACGAGUGGCGGACGGGUGAGUAACGCGUAGGAAUUUACCCAAUAGCGGGGGACAACCCGGGGAAACUCGGGCUAAUACCGCAUAUGCCUUACGAGGUAAAGAGGGCCUCUUCUUGAAAGCUCUCACUAUUGGAUGAGCCUGCGUCGGAUUAGCUAGUUGGUAGGGUAACGGCCUACCAAGGCGACGAUCCGUAGCUGGUCUGAGAGGAUGAUCAGCCACACUGGGACUGAGACACGGCCCAGACUCCUACGGGAGGCAGCAGUGGGGAAUAUUGGACAAUGGGCGCAAGCCUGAUCCAGCAAUACCGCGUGUGUGAAGAAGGCCUUAGGGUUGUAAAGCACUUUCAAUUGGGAAGAAAAGUUCAGGGUUAAUAUCCCUGGACCUUGACGGUACCUUUAGAAGAAGCACCGGCUAACUCCGUGCCAGCAGCCGCGGUAAUACGGAGGGUGCGAGCGUUAAUCGGAAUUACUGGGCGUAAAGCGCGCGUAGGCGGUUGUAAGUCAGAUGUGAAGCCCCGGGCUUACCUGGGAUUGCAUUGAUACUGCGGACUAGAGUAUGGAGAGGGAGUGAAUUCACAUGUAGCGUGAAUGCGUAAUAUGUGAGGACACAUGGCGAAGCGCUUCUGACA
Molecule: ribosomal RNA, 731 nt
Filed under: uncultured bacterium
Lineage: Bacteria
Description: bacterial SSU rRNA
Rfam family: Bacterial small subunit ribosomal RNA
Source: RNAcentral